RNAcentral lists this unclassified non-coding RNA (200 nucleotides) under soil metagenome. RNAcentral's name for it is "partial contains internal transcribed spacer 2 and large subunit ribosomal RNA". The record is from RNAcentral.
GCCUGUUCGAGCGUCAUUACAACCUUCAAGCACCGCUUGGCGUUGGGCAUCACCGCCCCGGUGGGCCCCAAAAUCAGUGGCGGAGCGUUCGGUUUCCAGCGUAGUAAAUCUCUCGCUGUGGAGUCGCGACGUCCCCGCCAGCAACCACCAAAUUUUACAAGGUUGACCUCGGAUCAGGUAGGGAUACCCGCUGAACUUAA